Juglans microcarpa x Juglans regia is the source of this 272-nucleotide long non-coding RNA. RefSeq lists it as uncharacterized. NCBI's taxonomy places the organism in Eukaryota, Viridiplantae, Streptophyta, Magnoliopsida, Fagales, Juglandaceae. The record is from RefSeq and is a predicted model, not a curated record. The transcript has 3 exons.
UUACAUCAUUCCCCUCACUAUGAACCCCCAAAUCAUGACCGGUCUUCAGAGCUGCUGCAUAUGAUCGCCUCGCCACCGUGGAUGUACUUGGGUCUUUAUGAUUCACCUCCAAACCACACCUUCAUACCCUUCAGGAAUGACUACAACACUCCACCGGCCUCCUCCACCAUAUUUGGUGGCAGUUAGAUACCUACCAUGCACGAUGGAGCAUCAUUGAGCUACGAAUGCUCUGUUUCCUUCGUGCAAAUGUUUAGUGAAAUUCAAAUUUCUCC